This 233-nucleotide long non-coding RNA is filed under the name Homo sapiens (human). RNAcentral's name for it is "HSALNT0346721". The record is from RNAcentral. Lineage: Eukaryota; Metazoa; Chordata; Mammalia; Primates; Hominidae.
CUUUCUUUAAGUGAAAAGUUGAAAGUUCACGACUUUAUAAGGAGAGAAAAUCAAAGUCAAUGAGAAGGAGGAUCAUAGAGCUCACAAGAUUAGUGAGGGCCCCCCAGCAUUAGAAGCACAGAGCUACUAAAGAGAGAAGGACACAUGGAAGCAUUUUGCAGAAAUAGCCACACUACCAACUGUACUUCCUAAGCACAGAGAUCUAGAAAGAAGAAAAGUUCCUAAUUUUCAAG